GUUUUUUGUCAAUUGAAUUAUUGAGGUAACAAAGUUACUGUUACUUAAUGGUAAGCAAGGGCAGUUAUCUAUAUAUAAUGGUGGUAACGGCGUCACCAAUGCAACCCAGCAUUUGCCUUUAAAUACCGGGGUAAAGGGUAAUGACUCCUUGAACAACCUGUAAAUAAUGGUCAUUGCCUAACAUAACCGCUGUUAUUUAAAACCAUGAUUAGUGCAGUAGUUUUAGCCUGAUAAGCCGUGGAAAAUCUUUUUACUUCUCAUACCAGUUAACCCACAAACCAAAUUAGCUGCACCACGGCUCUACACAAGAUUUCUAGUUUGGCACAUAUGGAAAAUCAUAGGCUGAACAUUAUUAGGUGACCAUAAGACCAUUGUAGAGUUGGCUAAUGGCGUUUUCCAAGCUCAUAAAAAUAUGGUCAAUAUUUGUUUCACAUAUCCAAGAAGUUAUUUUUGGCAGAGCUCAUGCGCAAAUGUGAACUUUAACAACACAUGGUUGGACACCAAAAACUAGAUACAAAGCAAUGCAUUAAUUAAAUGAAACGAGAAGAUUGAAAAUAAGGAGAAAAAGGGUACAGUACCUGCACCAGACAUUGCUUGACAAAUCUCUUAUGCACAUCCAAAACAUAUUUCUGCAACCCCAAGUCCUUCUCCAACAGUCUCCUGACCCCC
Molecule: unclassified non-coding RNA, 669 nt
Filed under: Hevea brasiliensis (rubber tree)
Lineage: Eukaryota; Viridiplantae; Streptophyta; Magnoliopsida; Malpighiales; Euphorbiaceae
Source: RNAcentral